RNAcentral lists this ribosomal RNA (360 nucleotides) under uncultured bacterium. Its description in RNAcentral is "bacterial SSU rRNA". It matches the Rfam family "Bacterial small subunit ribosomal RNA", at positions 329 to 686 of the family's 1533-position model. The record is from RNAcentral.
CACCAGACUCCUACGGGAGGCAGCAGUGAGGAAUAUUGGUCAAUGGGCGGAAGCCUGAACCAGCCAAGUCGCGUGAGGGAUUAAGGCCCUAUGGGUCGUAAACCUCUUUUGUCAGGGAGCAAGGUCGUCCACGUGUGGGCGUAUGGAGAGUACCUGAAGAAAAAGCAUCGGCUAACUCCGUGCCAGCAGCCGCGGUAAUACGGAGGAUGCGAGCGUUAUCCGGAUUUAUUGGGUUUAAAGGGUGCGUAGGCGGGAUGCCAAGUCAGCGGUAAAAAUGCGGUGCUCAACGCCGUCGAGCCGUUGAAACUGGCGUUCUUGAGUGGGCGAGAAGUAUGCGGAAUGCGUGGUGUAGCGGUGAAA